ACGAGAUCUCGUAUAUAAUGUAAUAGAAGUCACUAACUUUGCAGAUACAUUAACCAGAAAUGACAUGCCUGUAAUUCUCAGAAGAUGCAUUAUUAUUUGCAACAUGCUGCUCGAUGCUUCAUGUGUUAGGCCUCUUGAUCUUCUGCCAUGCUGGAAUGUAAACACCACAGGAAUAGACAGAAUCACGAAUUAAGGAUUUGGAUGCCUUCCUUUAGAAGUAAUCUUCAAAGAAUGCACAUCCCAAACAUCACAGUGACUCAACAAGCAAGGGAACAGCCAGUGACUGUGUGAGCUUCAUGCCAACCAGAGAGAUAGCAGAGUCUUAAUUUGGUAGCAAAGUCUUAAUUUUAUCUUAAAA
This 358-nucleotide long non-coding RNA is filed under the name Ornithorhynchus anatinus (platypus). RNAcentral's name for it is "lncRNA (ENSOANG00000048832.1)". The record is from RNAcentral. Lineage: Eukaryota; Metazoa; Chordata; Mammalia; Monotremata; Ornithorhynchidae.